UCGAGAAUUUUUCGCAAUGGGCGAAAGCCUGACGAAGCGACGCCGUGUGAGCGAAGAAGGCCUUCGGGUUGUAAAGCUCUUUCGCCUGGGAGCAAGAGAGAUUGGCUAAAAACCGAUUGAUUUGAGAGUACUAGGUAAAGAAGCACCGGCUAACUCCGUGCCAGCAGCUGCGGUAAUACGGAGGGUGCAAGCAUUAAUCGGAAUUAUUGGGCGUAAAGGGUGCGUAGGUUGGAAUGAAAGUCAGAUGUGAAAUACCGGGGCUCAACUUCGGAGUGGCAUUUGAAACUUCAUUUCUUGAGGAUUGAUGGGGGGAGCGGAAUUCCACAUGUAGCGGUGAAAUGCGUAGAUAUGUGGAAGAACACCUGUGGCGAAAGCGGCUCUCCAAUUUAUUCCUGACACUGAGGCACGAAAGCAAGGGGAGCAAACAGGAUUAGAUACCCGCGUAGUCC
RNAcentral lists this ribosomal RNA (449 nucleotides) under uncultured bacterium. RNAcentral describes it as "bacterial SSU rRNA". It matches the Rfam family "Bacterial small subunit ribosomal RNA", at positions 355 to 796 of the family's 1533-position model. The record is from RNAcentral.